CCUACGGGGGGCAGCAGUGAGGAAUAUUGGUCAAUGGACGCAAGUCUGAACCAGCCAUGCCGCGUGCAGGAAGACGGCUCUAUGAGUUGUAAACUGCUUUUGUACGAGGGUAAACGCAGAUACGCGUCUCUGUCUGAAAGUAUCGGACGAAUAAGCAUCGGCUAACUCCGUGCCAGCAGCCGCGGUAAUACGGAGGAUUCAAGCGUUAUCCGGAUUUAUUGGGUUUAAAGGGUGCGUAGGCGGUCGGUUAAGUUAGGGGUUAAAUCCCGAGGCUCAACUUCGGAAUUGCCUUUGAUACUGUUCGGCUCGAGAGUGGUUGCGGUAGGCGGAAUGUAUGGUGUAGCGGUGAAAUGCUUAGAGAUCAUACAGAACACCGAUUGCGAAGGCAGCAUGCCAGGCUACUUCUGACGUUGAGGCACGAAAGCGUGGGGAGCAAACAGGAUUAGAUACCCUAGUAGUC
Molecule: ribosomal RNA, 460 nt
Filed under: uncultured bacterium
Lineage: Bacteria
Description: partial 16S ribosomal RNA
Rfam family: Bacterial small subunit ribosomal RNA
Source: RNAcentral